Molecule: non-coding RNA, 135 nt
Organism: Triticum aestivum (bread wheat)
Lineage: Eukaryota; Viridiplantae; Streptophyta; Magnoliopsida; Poales; Poaceae
Source: Rfam
AAAGUACUCCCUCCGUCCAAAAAUUCUUGUCUUAGAUUUCUCUAGAUACGGAUGUAUCAAGUCACAUUUUAGUAUUAGAUACAGCCAUAUCUAGACAAAUCUAGGACAAGAAAUUUGGGACAGAGGGAGUAGUUG